ACAUAAUAAUAAGCGCCAGACCAUUAAAUUGGUGACGAGGAUUGAUAGUUAUCGAAAUUUCGGCGGAUUCUAUCACGGAUAAAGUUUUAUUCGUUAGAUAUAUAACAAAAAAUAAAAUUAAGAUUAUAACAAAAUAUAUAUCACAAACAAAA
Clostridium sp. CAG:433 is the source of this 152-nucleotide non-coding RNA. NCBI's taxonomy places the organism in Bacteria, Bacillati, Bacillota, Clostridia, Eubacteriales, Clostridiaceae. The record is from Rfam.